This 303-nucleotide ribosomal RNA is filed under the name uncultured bacterium. Its description in RNAcentral is "partial 16S ribosomal RNA". It matches the Rfam family "Bacterial small subunit ribosomal RNA", at positions 507 to 808 of the family's 1533-position model. The record is from RNAcentral.
AGCAGUCGCCGCGGUAAGACGGAGGGUGCUAGCGUUGUUCGGAAUCACUGGGCGUAAAGGGCGCGUAGGCGGCCUGUUAAGUCGGAUGUGAAAGCCCGGGGCUCAACCCCGGAACUGCAUCCGAGACUGGCAGGCUUGAGACCGGGAGAGGAGGGUGGAAUAUCCAGUGUAGAGGUGAAAUUCGAGAUAUUGGAUGGAACACCGGUGGCGAAAGCGGCUCUCUGGCCCGGAUCUGACGCUGAGGCGCGAAAGCGUGGGGAGCAAACAGGAUUAGAUACCCCCGUAGUCCCUGUCUCUUAUACA